GGACCUGUAUUCCCCCUCAUCCCACAGUGACUCCACAAGGCCUCCUGGAGGCCCUGAACCCCAUCCUGUGCUCCAGGAAUGCCGUGUCUCACCCCCAACACCUUGGGAUGAGCCCUCCGGAAGCCUUGGACCGGGAGCGACGUCCUGGCGGGCGCAGCUUCCCCGGAUCCCGACGCCAGCUGUGCCGCCCGCGGAUCCGUGGCCGGGAUCACCUCCGUGAUGAUCCUCACGCCGCCGGAUUCCGUCACCGUGGUGGCCGCCAUGGCCUGGGAAGGAGCCCGGGAAGCUCGAGGGACACCCAGGUGUUCCUGCUUCCCACGGGGCUGUUUCCAUGGCGAUUCUGGAAGGAAAGUCCUGUUUCCUGGGAUGAAUCGCAGGAUUUUUUUUGGCUUUUAUCCACGUGGCAUUCCCAGGAAUCACAGCACAGGUGCCACUGUGAACACACCAGGGACAGCUGCACCUGAACACCGGGAUACUCUGGGAAAACUGACUCUGAUCCCGAGGAGGGAGAGGACGAUUCCCAGCCUCUUUCCUGGGAAGCUGCCGCCCUGGGAAAACACAGAUGGAUCCACCAGCUUGGCUGAAGGUUGGAAUGGCUUCCUGGUGGUCCCUGUGGAGCUGGGAGAAGCUGGGAUGCUCCGGAGCAGUAAUGGAUUGUGGACACGGGGGAGCCACGAGCCCGGACCGAGCGUUUAUUCCCAAGAUAAAACCAAGCCAACGCGGGACGAGCCGAGGUAGAU
Molecule: long non-coding RNA, 740 nt
Organism: Pseudopipra pipra
Lineage: Eukaryota; Metazoa; Chordata; Aves; Passeriformes; Pipridae
Exons: 5
Source: RefSeq, a predicted model, not a curated record